This is a long non-coding RNA of Carya illinoinensis, 413 nucleotides long. RefSeq lists it as uncharacterized. NCBI's taxonomy places the organism in Eukaryota, Viridiplantae, Streptophyta, Magnoliopsida, Fagales, Juglandaceae. The transcript is spliced from 3 exons. The record is from RefSeq and is a predicted model, not a curated record.
GUCUUGAGUCAUGCAAGACACUUUUACUUCACUUUAAUAAUUUCUUCAUCCCAUUCUUAGAGAGAAACGCAAAAGAGCUCUCGGACAGAUUUAUGGGUCUUCUUGCGUGAAGAUUUUCAACCAUUUUUCCUCAUGAUCGCACUUGAAGUUUUAUAAGAAACGCGGAGAUCGAGGGAAACUAUUUGAGAGCUACAAAGAUGCAAGCCACAGUAAAGUCAUUCUCUUUUAUGGCAGAACAAGUGCUGCGUGAAAAGCAAAGACGGAGCUCGUUAGUCCCCCCGUGAAAUGUUAUCGUCUUAUAUUACAACAUUUGUAGUUUAUUAAAUGUGCCUCUGCUUAUUCAAUUAUUUAGCACAUAUAUAGUGAAUUGUGGCUUUCGUGCAACAAAGUGUGUAUGAUAUGGCGUAAUUCAU